AGAAAAGGAAGUGUUCUCAGGUGACUAAUAGGUGGGUCAGGGUUUCCCAGCGUCUGGCCAUCUUGGGACAUGAAACAAAAAACACAGGGACCCAGCCUACCUUGAACUAGCUUACAGCUCUACCACUUAGCUGCUGGGAAAGCACCAGAAACUGCUCCUCCUUUUUCAAUACAGCUUGGACAACACCAGGAAGAUGCUACUGUUCUGACUCUGGUCCUGUGCCCCAUGCACAAUGGCUGAGGAUGGAAUGAGAUGGCUGGAGUAAGAAAAGGAGGAGAGUCAGCGUGCCCAGCAGAUAAGCCUCAGGUGGCCCUAUGGAAGCAGGGACUCUCCCAGGAGCUCGUGGACCGGAUGUACUGCCCAGAUGCAGGAAAUGAUUCUUCCCGUCAUCGACCUAUGCCUUCCUGGACUGUCCCUUUUAGAGCUUCAUGUUGACGGACUCCUCAGUUUCCUUAUGUGUUGUUUAUUGGCUUUUAUGGGAUUAUUUAAUCUAAACCUUUGGUUGCAGGAGACAGACAUGCUUGAGCUAGCCUGUGAGACAAGAUAUGGUGGCAGGAAGUAUAGCAUAUCACGUGAGACUAACUGGGAAUGUUAAGGUUAUGAGAAAUGAGGCAUUAUCAUCUGACAGCCGAAAGCCACUGUAUUCUCAUUUCUGCAUUUAUCUGUCUGCUCGAUUCUUCCUUUCUGCAAAAUGGCUUUCUCUGCUUCUUUGUAUACCUGCGAAAAGUGGCCCCUCUAAAGCUGAUAGAUUUCUAAGUCCUAGGUUUGAGAGCAGUAACACAUGGCCUGGCUUCUCUGAUUUUUUACUUCCUUAUUUCUGGCAGUGGGUUAGUUUGAAGCCGCUGUCCCCAGAGUCCAAUCAGCUAUGGGCUAGGGACAAAGUUGGACUUCCCAGGUGGCUCAAUGAUAAAGAACCUGCCUGUCAAUGCAGGAGACAUGGGUUCUAUUCCUGGGUCUGGAAGAUCCCCUGGAGAAGGAAAUGGCAGCCCACUCCAGUAUUCUUGCCUGGGACAUCCCACAAACAGAGGGGCCUGGUGGGCUACAGUCUAUGGGGUCUCAGAGAGUUGGACACAACUUAGCAACUAAACAACAAUAACAAGGGCAAAGUCAGGACAUUAUAGGUGACUGACCCUGUGAGCCGUGAUGGUGGUGAUGGGGGUAGGUCCCAGAAGAGGGAAUCAUGGGUUAAGCAGCGUCUGCAUAACUUGACCUUGACUGAUGUGAACUUGUGUGCUUCAUUCAACGUGUGAUCAUUAUGAGUAUUAUGCUUGGGAGGCUUGUUUAUCUGUAGAGUAUGUGUGUGUGUGUGUGUGUGUGUGUGUGUGUGUGUGUGUGUAUGAAUGUGUGUGUGUGUGUGUGUAUGUGAGAGGGAGAGAGGCUUGGUGUCCAUGCCUGGUGACUUCCCAUCCUGUCUUUCAUUUCUCUCUGAGGCAGUUCCUGUGCUAUGAAUCAGGGACUCAGUGGCAAACAAAGAAGACACAGUCCUUGCUGUGACCCACCAGGGAGGCAGAUGUUCCUCAGGGUAUCACACAAAUGAAUGUUUGAACUGAGGUCUUAGGGGCAAGCAGGGUUGAGCAAUUCCAUUCAGCGGACAAGUUAUACCAAGUUUCUGAGGUUGGAGGAAGAGGUCAAUUUGAGGAAUCAAAAGGAAGCUUGUGUGGAUGGAGUUCAGAGGGCAAGGCGACAGCUGUUAAGCAAGCACAGCCUGGACCUGGUGGCGCAGACUCUCAGGGACACUGGAAGGGCUUUGCAUGUGUGCUAAAGUCUCUUCAGUCAUGUCUGACUCUUUGUGACCCUCUGGACUGUAACCCACCAGGAU
Molecule: long non-coding RNA, 1819 nt
Organism: Bos taurus (domestic cattle)
Lineage: Eukaryota; Metazoa; Chordata; Mammalia; Artiodactyla; Bovidae
Source: Ensembl